RNAcentral lists this ribosomal RNA (459 nucleotides) under uncultured bacterium. RNAcentral's name for it is "partial 16S ribosomal RNA". It matches the Rfam family "Bacterial small subunit ribosomal RNA", at positions 338 to 795 of the family's 1533-position model. The record is from RNAcentral.
CCUACGGGAGGCAGCAGUGAGGAAUAUUGGUCAAUGGGCGGAAGCCUGAACCAGCCAAGUAGCGUGCGGGAUGAAGGCCCUACGGGUCGUAAACCGCUUUUGCACGGGGAUAACACCCUCCACUUGUGGAGGUCUGCAGGUACCGUGCGAAUAAGGGCCGGCUAAUUCCGUGCCAGCAGCCGCGGUAAUACGGAAGGCCCGAGCGUUAUCCGGAUUCAUUGGGCUUAAAGGGAGCGUAGGCGGGCGUUCAAGUCAGCUGUAAAAUCGCGCGGCUCAACCGCGCCCCGCAGUUGAAACUGGACGCAUUGAGUUCACAACAGGCAGGCGGAAUUCGGGGUGUAGCGGUGAAAUGCAGAGAUAUCACGAGGAACCCCGAUUGCGAAGGCAGCCUGCCGGGGUGCGACUGACGCUGAGGCUCGAAGGUGCGGGUAUCAAACAGGAUUAGAUACCCGGGUAGUC